RNAcentral lists this ribosomal RNA (492 nucleotides) under uncultured bacterium. Its description in RNAcentral is "partial 16S ribosomal RNA". It matches the Rfam family "Bacterial small subunit ribosomal RNA", at positions 29 to 507 of the family's 1533-position model. The record is from RNAcentral.
AUUGAACGCUGGCGGCAUGCUUUACACAUGCCAGUCGAACGGUAACAGGCCUUCGGGUGCUGACGAGUGGCGAACGGGUGAGUAAUGCAUCGGAACGUACCCAGAGGUGGGGGAUAACGCAGCGAAAGCUGUGCUAAUACCGCAUGUGAUCUGAGGAUGAAAGCGGGGGACCGAGCAGCAAUGUUUGGCCUCGCGCCUUUGGAGCGGCCGCUGUCGGAUUAGCUAGUUGGGGGGGUAAAGUCCUACCAAGGCGACGAUCCGUAGCUGGUCUGAGAGGACGACCAGACACACUGGGACUGAGACACGGCCCAGACUCCUACGGGAGGCAGCAGUGGGGAAUUUUGGACAAUGGGCGCAAGCCUGAUCCAGCAAUGCCGCGUGAGGGAAGAAGGCCUUCGGGUUGUAAACCGCUUUUGGCAGGAACGAAACGGUGUCCGCUAAUACCGGGCGCUAAUGACGGUACCUGCAGAAUAAGCACCGGCUAACUACGUG